RNAcentral lists this ribosomal RNA (253 nucleotides) under uncultured bacterium. RNAcentral's name for it is "partial 16S ribosomal RNA". It matches the Rfam family "Bacterial small subunit ribosomal RNA", at positions 524 to 776 of the family's 1533-position model. The record is from RNAcentral.
UACGGAGGAUCCAAGCGUUAUCCGGAUUUACUGGGUUUAAAGGGUGCGUAGGCGGCUUUGUAAGUCAGGAGUGAAAGUUUGCGGCUCAACCGUAAAAUUGCUUCCGAUACUGCAUGGCUAGAAUUAGGAUGAGGUCAGCGGAAUGUGGCAUGUAGCGGUGAAAUGCAUAGAUAUGCCAUAGAACACCAAUUGCGAAGGCAGCUGGCUAGACCUGGAUUGACGCUGAGGCACGAAAGCGUGGGGAGCGAACAGG